UGCUAGGGGAGCUAUAUGCUGAGAGAAAUCAUUGAUUGAUACCCUUUGAACCUGAUCUGGUUGAUGCCAGCGUAGGGAAGCAG
This 83-nucleotide non-coding RNA is filed under the name uncultured Siminovitchia sp. RNAcentral's name for it is "TPP riboswitch (THI element)". It matches the Rfam family "TPP riboswitch aptamer (THI element)", at positions 7 to 92 of the family's 105-position model. Rfam says of the family: Vitamin B(1) in its active form thiamin pyrophosphate (TPP) is an essential coenzyme that is synthesised by coupling of pyrimidine and thiazole moieties in bacteria. The previously detected thiamin-regulatory element, thi box was extended, resulting in a new, highly conserved RNA secondary structure, the THI element, which is widely distributed in eubacteria and also occurs in some archaea. Analysis of operon structures identified a large number of new candidate thiamin-regulated genes, mostly transporters, in various prokaryotic organisms. The record is from RNAcentral. Lineage: Bacteria; Bacillati; Bacillota; Bacilli; Caryophanales; Bacillaceae.